RNAcentral lists this ribosomal RNA (1221 nucleotides) under Mimopeus elongatus. RNAcentral describes it as "SSU rRNA". It matches the Rfam family "Eukaryotic small subunit ribosomal RNA", at positions 32 to 1195 of the family's 1831-position model. The record is from RNAcentral. Lineage: Eukaryota; Metazoa; Arthropoda; Insecta; Coleoptera; Tenebrionidae.
UUGUCUCAAAGAUUAAGCCAUGCAUGUCUCAGUACAAGCCGAAUUAAGGUGAAACCGCGAAAGGCUCAUUAAAUCAGUUAUGGUUCCUUAGAUCGUACCCACAUUUACUUGGAUAACUGUGGUAAUUCUAGAGCUAAUACAUGCAAACAGAGCUCCGACCGGAGACGGAAGGAGCGCUUUUAUUAGAUCAAAACCAAUCGGUGGCGAUUUCCGUCGUCAUCGUACAACUUGGUGACUCUGAAUAACUUUACGCUGAUCGCACGGUCUUGCACCGGCGACGCAUCUUUCAAAUGUCUGCCUUAUCAACUGUCGAUGGUAGGUUCUGCGCCUACCAUGGUUGUAACGGGUAACGGGGAAUCAGGGUUCGAUUCCGGAGAGGGAGCCUGAGAAACGGCUACCACAUCCAAGGAAGGCAGCAGGCGCGCAAAUUACCCACUCCCGGCACGGGGAGGUAGUGACGAAAAAUAACGAUACGGGACUCAUCCGAGGCCCCGUAAUCGGAAUGAGUACACUCUAAACCCUUUAACGAGGAUCAAUUGGAGGGCAAGUCUGGUGCCAGCAGCCGCGGUAAUUCCAGCUCCAAUAGCGUAUAUUAAAGUUGUUGCGGUUAAAAAGCUCGUAGUCGAAUCUGUGUCCCGCGCCGCCGGUUCAUCGUUCGCGGUGUUAACUGGCGUGCCGCGGGACGUCCUGCCGGUGGGCUUAGCUCGAGAGGGCGGCCCAACUCAAUCCCGCCGCGGUGCUCUUCAUUGAGUGUCGAGGUGGGCCGGCACGUUUACUUUGAACAAAUUAGAGUGCUUAAAGCAGGCUAAAACUUCGCCUGAAUACUGUGUGCAUGGAAUAAUGGAAUAGGACCUCGGUUCUAUUUUGUUGGUUUUCGGAACCCCGAGGUAAUGAUUAAUAGGAACGGAUGGGGGCAUUCGUAUUGCGACGUUAGAGGUGAAAUUCUUGGAUCGUCGCAAGACGGACAGAAGCGAAAGCAUUUGCCAAAAACGCUUUCAUUGAUCAAGAACGAAAGUUAGAGGUUCGAAGGCGAUCAGAUACCGCCCUAGUUCUAACCAUAAACGAUGCCAGCUAGCGAUCCGCCGACGUUCCUCCGAUGACUCGGCGGGCAGCUUCCGGGAAACCAAAGCUUUUGGGUUCCGGGGGAAGUAUGGUUGCAAAGCUGAAACUUAAAGGAAUUGACGGAAGGGCACCACCAGGAGUGGAGCCUGCGGCUUAAUU